UGGGGAAUUUUGCGCAAUGGGGGAAACCCUGACGCAGCAACGCCGCGUGGAGGAUGAAAUCCCUUGGGAUGUAAACUCCUUUCGAUAGGGAAGAUAAUGACGGUACCUAUAGAAGAAGCCCCGGCUAACUUCGUGCCAGCAGCCGCGGUAAUACGAGGGGGGCAAGCGUUGUUCGGAAUUAUUGGGCGUAAAGGGUGCGUAGGCGGUUUGGUAAGUCUUUUGUGAAAUCUAUGGGCUCAACUCAUAGACUGCAAGGGAAACUGCCGGGCUUGAGUGUGGGAGAGGUGAGUGGAAUUCCUGGUGUAGCGGUGAAAUGCGUAGAUAUCAGGAGGGACACCUGUGGCGAAAGCGGCUCACUGGACCACAACUGACGCUGAUGCACGAAAGCUAGGGGAGCAAACAGGAUUAGAUACCCUGGUAGUCCUAGCCCUAAACGAUGACUGCUUGGUGUGACGGGUACCCAAUCCCGCCGUGCCGUAGCUAACGCGUUAAGCAGUCCGCCUGGGGAGUACGGUCGCAAGGCUG
RNAcentral lists this ribosomal RNA (525 nucleotides) under uncultured bacterium. Its description in RNAcentral is "bacterial SSU rRNA". It matches the Rfam family "Bacterial small subunit ribosomal RNA", at positions 355 to 896 of the family's 1533-position model. The record is from RNAcentral.